RNAcentral lists this ribosomal RNA (573 nucleotides) under Triticum aestivum (bread wheat). RNAcentral's name for it is "partial small subunit ribosomal RNA". The record is from RNAcentral. Lineage: Eukaryota; Viridiplantae; Streptophyta; Magnoliopsida; Poales; Poaceae.
GAUCUGGAGGCAGUAAUGGACUGCUUGUGACACUUGGGAGCAUGCGAGGCAUGCCAUUAGCCCGGCUAUUCCCAGAAAGGAUGGUGGACAGAUCACCGCUGCCCUCAUUCAUCCACUUUUGUUGUAAUUGGGCUUGCCCAAGAGAUGUCGCCAAACCUUGUCCCAAGUUCCCAUGCUGGUUUCCUGGUAGGCUAAGAUGAUACUUAGCUGCAUCACCAAUCAAAGGAUUUGUUGUGCAACUGCUACUUCCAGUCGGAAUUGACCUGGAAGUGGCCACCCCCUGAAUCACAACCGCUGUUUGGUUGUUUCUAGGACUAUUUAGCAAUCCAUGUGCACUGAAAGUUGAUAGCGCUGCGGGAGAGGUGAAAGCUUGAUAACCCUGGAGUCCUUCGAAUGCAUCCAUGCGCAGAAAGGGGUCUCUGCCUCCCAAGGCAGCAACGAUGCCAGCUUGUUGUGAUGCCACAGCACUUAACCGUCGGAGAUAAAGCCUAUAUUUCUGCAUGUGACUUGCAACAUUUUCCCUAGUGAGUUUCUCAACAUUCAUAAGCUCGAGUAUCCUUUUUGGCACAGCUU